This 935-nucleotide ribosomal RNA is filed under the name Lactococcus lactis subsp. lactis. RNAcentral's name for it is "bacterial SSU rRNA". It matches the Rfam family "Bacterial small subunit ribosomal RNA", at positions 47 to 954 of the family's 1533-position model. The record is from RNAcentral. Lineage: Bacteria; Bacillati; Bacillota; Bacilli; Lactobacillales; Streptococcaceae.
CCUUAAAUAACAAUGCAAAGUUGAGCGCUGAAGGUUGGUACUUGUACCAACUGGAUGAGCAGCGAACGGGUGAGUAACGCGUGGGGAAUCUGCCUUUGAGCGGGGGACAACAUUUGGAAACGAAUGCUAAUACCGCAUAAAAACUUUAAACACAAGUUUUAAGUUUGAAAGAUGCAAUUGCAUCACUCAAAGAUGAUCCCGCGUUGUAUUAGCUAGUUGGUGAGGUAAAGGCUCACCAAGGCGAUGAUACAUAGCCGACCUGAGAGGGUGAUCGGCCACAUUGGGACUGAGACACGGCCCAAACUCCUACGGGAGGCAGCAGUAGGGAAUCUUCGGCAAUGGACGAAAGUCUGACCGAGCAACGCCGCGUGAGUGAAGAAGGUUUUCGGAUCGUAAAACUCUGUUGGUAGAGAAGAACGUUGGUGAGAGUGGAAAGCUCAUCAAGUGACGGUAACUACCCAGAAAGGGACGGCUAACUACGUGCCAGCAGCCGCGGUAAUACGUAGGUCCCGAGCGUUGUCCGGAUUUAUUGGGCGUAAAGCGAGCGCAGGUGGUUUAUUAAGUCUGGUGUAAAAGGCAGUGGCUCAACCAUUGUAUGCAUUGGAAACUGGUAGACUUGAGUGCAGGAGAGGAGAGUGGAAUUCCAUGUGUAGCGGUGAAAUGCGUAGAUAUAUGGAGGAACACCGGUGGCGAAAGCGGCUCUCUGGCCUGUAACUGACACUGAGGCUCGAAAGCGUGGGGAGCAAACAGGAUUAGAUACCCUGGUAGUCCACGCCGUAAACGAUGAGUGCUAGAUGUAGGGAGCUAUAAGUUCUCUGUAUCGCAGCUAACGCAAUAAGCACUCCGCCUGGGGAGUACGACCGCAAGGUUGAAACUCAAAGGGAAUUGACGGGGGGCCCGCACAAGCGGGUGGAAGCAUGUGGGUUUAAUUUCGA